Molecule: ribosomal RNA, 301 nt
Filed under: uncultured bacterium
Lineage: Bacteria
Description: partial 16S ribosomal RNA
Rfam family: Bacterial small subunit ribosomal RNA
Source: RNAcentral
CAGUAGCCGCGGGAAUACCGAGGGUGCGAGCGUUAAUCGGAUUUACUGGGCGUAAAGCGUGCGUAGGCGGCUUUUUAAGUCGGAUGUGAAAUCCCUGAGCUUAACUUAGGAAUUGCAUUCGAUACUGGGAAGCUAGAGUAUGGGAGAGGAUGGUAGAAUUCCAGGUGUAGCGGUGAAAUGCGUAGAGAUCUGGAGGAAUACCGAUGGCGAAGGCAGCCAUCUGGCCUAAUACUGACGCUGAGGUACGAAAGCAUGGGGAGCAAACAGGAUUAGAUACCCCUGUAGUCCCUGUCUCUUAUAC